Molecule: ribosomal RNA, 479 nt
Filed under: uncultured bacterium
Lineage: Bacteria
Description: partial 16S ribosomal RNA
Rfam family: Bacterial small subunit ribosomal RNA
Source: RNAcentral
AUGAACGCUGGCGGCGUGCUUAACACAUGCAAGUCGAACGAAGCACUUUAUUUGAUUUCCUUCGGGACUGAUUAUUUUGUGACUGAGUGGCGGACGGGUGAGUAACGCGUGGGUAACCUGCCUUGUACAGGGGGAUAACAGUUGGAAACGGCUGCUAAUACCGCAUAAGCGCACAGCAUCGCAUGAUGCAGUGUGAAAAACUCCGGUGGUAUAAGAUGGACCCGCGUUGGAUUAGCUAGUUGGUGAGGUAACGGCCCACCAAGGCGACGAUCCAUAGCCGACCUGAGAGGGUGACCGGCCACAUUGGGACUGAGACACGGCCCAAACUCCUACGGGAGGCAGCAGUGGGGAAUAUUGCACAAUGGGCGAAAGCCUGAUGCAGCGACGCCGCGUGAGCGAAGAAGUAUUUCGGUAUGUAAAGCUCUAUCAGCAGGGAAGAUAAUGACGGUACCUGACUAAGAAGCACCGGCUAAAUACGU